This 254-nucleotide ribosomal RNA is filed under the name uncultured bacterium. RNAcentral describes it as "partial 16S ribosomal RNA". It matches the Rfam family "Bacterial small subunit ribosomal RNA", at positions 526 to 779 of the family's 1533-position model. The record is from RNAcentral.
CGUAGGUGGCAAGCGUUGUCCGGAUUUAUUGGGCGUAAAGCGAGCGCAGGCGGUCUUUUAAGUCUGAUGUGAAAGCCCACGGCUUAACCGUGGAGGGUCAUUGGAAACUGGGAGACUUGAGUGCAGAAGAGGAAGUGGAACUCCAUGUGUAGCGGUGGAAUGCGUAGAUAUAUGGAAGAACACCAGUGGCGAAGGCGGCUUUCUGGUCUGUAACUGACGCUGAGGCUCGAAAGCGUGGGGGAGCAAACAGGAUU